This 1228-nucleotide ribosomal RNA is filed under the name Salmonella enterica subsp. enterica serovar Oranienburg. Its description in RNAcentral is "partial 23S ribosomal RNA". It matches the Rfam family "Bacterial large subunit ribosomal RNA", at positions 1 to 1259 of the family's 2925-position model. The record is from RNAcentral. Lineage: Bacteria; Pseudomonadati; Pseudomonadota; Gammaproteobacteria; Enterobacterales; Enterobacteriaceae.
GGGUUGUGAGGUUAAGCGACUAAGCGUACACGGUGGAUGCCCUGGCAGUCAGAGGCGAUGAAGGACGUGCUAAUCUGCGAUAAGCGCCGGUAAGGUGAUAUGAACCGUUAUAACCGGCGAUUUCCGAAUGGGGAAACCCAGUGUGACUCGUCACACUAUCAUUAACUGAAUCCAUAGGUUAAUGAGGCGAACCGGGGGAACUGAAACAUCUAAGUACCCCGAGGAAAAGAAAUCAACCGAGAUUCCCCCAGUAGCGGCGAGCGAACGGGGAGGAGCCCAGAGCCUGAAUCAGCAUGUGUGUUAGUGGAAGCGUCUGGAAAGGCGCGCGAUACAGGGUGACAGCCCCGUACACAAAAGCGCAUGUGCUGUGAGCUCGAUGAGUAGGGCGGGACACGUGGUAUCCUGUCUGAAUAUGGGGGGACCAUCCUCCAAGGCUAAAUACUCCUGACUGACCGAUAGUGAACCAGUACCGUGAGGGAAAGGCGAAAAGAACCCCGGCGAGGGGAGUGAAAAAGAACCUGAAACCGUGUACGUACAAGCAGUGGGAGCACCCUUUGGGGUGUGACUGCGUACCUUUUGUAUAAUGGGUCAGCGACUUAUAUUCUGUAGCAAGGUUAACCGCAUAGGGGAGCCGGAGGGAAACCGAGUCUUAAUUGGGCGUUAAGUUGCAGGGUAUAGACCCGAAACCCGGUGAUCUAGCCAUGGGCAGGUUGAAGGUUGGGUAACACUAACUGGAGGACCGAACCGACUAAUGUUGAAAAAUUAGCGGAUGACCUGUGGCUGGGGGUGAAAGGCCAAUCAAACCGGGAGAUAGCUGGUUCUCCCCGAAAGCUAUUUAGGUAGCGCCUCGUGAAUUCAUCUCCGGGGGUAGAGCACUGUUUCGGCUAGGGGGCCAUCCCGGCUUACCAACCCGAUGCAAACUGCGAAUACCGGAGAAUGUUAUCACGGGAGACACACGGCGGGUGCUAACGUCCGUCGUGAAGAGGGAAACAACCCAGACCGCCAGCUAAGGUCCCAAAGUCAUGGUUAAGUGGGAAACGAUGUGGGAAGGCCCAGACAGCCAGGAUGUUGGCUUAGAAGCAGCCAUCAUUUAAAGAAAGCGUAAUAGCUCACUGGUCGAGUCGGCCUGCGCGGAAGAUGUAACGGGGCUAAACCAUGCACCGAAGCUGCGGCAGCGACGCUUAUGCGUUGUUGGGUAGGGGAGCGUUCUGUAAGCCUGCGAAGGUGG